Molecule: ribosomal RNA, 397 nt
Filed under: uncultured bacterium
Lineage: Bacteria
Description: bacterial SSU rRNA
Rfam family: Bacterial small subunit ribosomal RNA
Source: RNAcentral
AUUGAACGCUGGCGGCAUGCUUUACACAUGCAAGUCGAACGGCAGCGGGUCCUUCGGGAUGCCGGCGAGUGGCGAACGGGUGAGUAAUGCAUCGGAACGUACCCAGUCGUGGGGGAUAACGUAGCGAAAGUUACGCUAAUACCGCAUACGACCUGAGGGUGAAAGCAGGGGAUCUUCGGACCUUGUGCGAUUGGAGCGGCCGAUGUCAGAUUAGCUAGUUGGUGGGGUAAAGGCCUACCAAAGCGACGAUCUGUAGCGGGUCUGAGAGGAUGAUCCGCCACACUGGAACUGAGACACGGUCCAGACUCCUACGGGAGGCAGCAGUGGGGAAUUUUGGACAAUGGGCGCAAGCCUGAUCCAGCCAUGCCGCGUGAGUGAAGAAGGCCUCGGUUGUAAG